This 56-nucleotide transfer RNA is filed under the name Anindobothrium anacolum. RNAcentral's name for it is "tRNA-Arg". Lineage: Eukaryota; Metazoa; Platyhelminthes; Cestoda; Phyllobothriidea; Phyllobothriidae. The record is from RNAcentral.
AACAUAAAUAAGUCUAUGUUACGGCCAUAGAAUUGAUAUAUUUAUAUCUUAUGUUU